This 1390-nucleotide small RNA is filed under the name Pongo abelii (Sumatran orangutan). Its description in RNAcentral is "retained intron". The record is from RNAcentral. Lineage: Eukaryota; Metazoa; Chordata; Mammalia; Primates; Hominidae.
AAGGUUUCCGUCUGCUCUGUGCAGAGGGAGUGGAGCUGCGAGGGCUUGUGGCUUCGCAGUUCCUCUUCUGUGAACAGCCGAGAUCACGCGCUCCUCCCCAGCCAUCCGUUCCUCCCCGCAGUCCUUCCCCUCCACUCCGUUCCCCUUCUCUGCUCACGCAGGGAGCCCAGGAAGCCUCCGCCUCAGAGAUGCUACCGCUACUGCUGCCCCUGCUGUGGGCAGCCUUGUACGAUUAUGGCUACUGGUUCCUGGAAGGGGCUGAUGUUCCAGUGGCCACAAAUAACCCAAAUGAAGAAGUGCAGGAGGAGACCCGGGGCCGAUUCCACCUCCUCUGGGAUUACAGAAGGAAGAACUGCUCCCUGAGCAUCACAGAUGCCCGGAGGAGGGACAAUGCUGCAUACUUCUUUCGGUUGAAGUCGAAAUGGAUGAAAUACGGUUAUACAUCUUCCAAGCUCUCUGUGCGUGUGAUGGCCCUGACCCACAGGCCCAACAUCUCCAUCCCAGGGACCCUGGAGUCUGGCUGUUCCAGGACCCUGACCUGCUCUGUGCCCUGGGCCUGUGAGCAGGGGACGCCCCCCAUCUUCUCCUGGAUGUCAGCUGCCCCCACCUCUCUGGGCCCCAGGACCACCCAGUCCUCAGUGCUCACGAUCACCCCACGGCCCCAGGACCACAGCACCAACCUCACCUGUCAGGUGACGUUCCCUGGAGCCGGUGUGACUGUGGAGAGAACCAUCCAGCUCAAUGUCUCCUAUGCUCCACAGAAAGUGGCCGUCAGCAUCUUCCAAGGAAACAGCGCAGCCUUCAAAAUCCUGCAAAACACCUCGUCCCUCCCCGUCCUGGAGGGCCAGGCUCUGCAGCUGCUCUGCGAUGCUGACGGCAACCCCCCUGCACACCUGAGCUGGUUCCAGGGCUUCCCUGCCCUGAACGCCACCCCCAUCUCCAAUACCGGGGUCCUGGAGCUGCCUCAAGUAGGGUCUGCAGAAGAAGGAGAUUUCACCUGCCGUGCUCAGCAUCCUCUGGGCUCCCUGCAAAUCUCUCUGAGUCUCUUUGUGCAUUGUGAGUGUGAGGGGAGGUGCUCGAGAGUGUGGGCAGCUGGGCGAGAGCUCCAUAGUAUUCAGAGAAGAGGCCCCUGCUAAGUCCUGUCCUCCCUUCCCAGACCCCUCACAACUGCUGGGACCCUCCUGCCUCUGGGAGGCUUAGAGUCCACACUGCAGUGGCUCCUCCCUGCACUGGCAGCUUGGGGAGGGGAUGCUGGAGGGAUGGUAACAGCAGCCAUGGCUCCUUCACAGUCACCCCCAGCCAGCCGGUCCCUUGGCCAACAGCUCCCUGAGCCUCUGCCAGGGAUUCAGCUCAAGUCUCAGCCUCAGCUUUGAGGCCCAGAACAUCCCAG